RNAcentral lists this ribosomal RNA (460 nucleotides) under uncultured bacterium. RNAcentral's name for it is "partial 16S ribosomal RNA". It matches the Rfam family "Bacterial small subunit ribosomal RNA", at positions 338 to 795 of the family's 1533-position model. The record is from RNAcentral.
CCUACGGGAGGCAGCAGUGAGGAAUAUUGGUCAAUGGACGAGAGUCUGAACCAGCCAAGUCGCGUGAAGGAUGACUGCCCUAUGGGUUGUAAACUUCUUUUAUAUGGGAAUAAAAUGUUCCACGUGUGGGAUUUUGUAUGUACCAUAUGAAUAAGGAUCGGCUAACUCCGUGCCAGCAGCCGCGGUAAUACGGAGGAUCCGAGCGUUAUCCGGAUUUAUUGGGUUUAACGGGUGCGUAGGUGGAUUGUUAAGUCAGUUGUGAAAGUUUGCGGCUCAACCGUAAAAUUGCAGUUGAAACUGGCAGUCUUGAGUACAGUAGAGGUGGGCGGAAUUCGUGGUGUAGCGGUGAAAUGCUUAGAUAUCACGAAGAACUCCGAUUGCGAAGGCAGUUCACUGGACUGCAACUGACACUGAGGCUCGAAAGUGUGGGUAUCAAACAGGAUUAGAUACCCCAGUAGUC